UAAAAACCCCGACUUCGGAAGGGGUGUAUUUAUUAGAUACAAAACCAAUGCCCUUCGGGGCUCUUUGGUGAUUCAUGAUAACUAUACGAAUCGCACGGCCUUGCGCCGGCGAUGGUUCAUUCAAAUUUCUUCCCUAUCAACUUUCGAUGUUUGGGUAUUGGCCAAACAUGGUUGCAACGGGUAACGGAGGGUUAGGGCUCGACCCCGGAGAAGGAGCCUGAGAAACGGCUACUACAUCCAAGGAAGGCAGCAGGCGCGCAAAUUACCCAAUCCCGACUCGGGGAGGUGGUGACAAUAAAUACUGAUACAGGGCCCUUUCGGGCCUUGUAAUUGGAAUGAGUACAAUUUAAAUCCCUUAACGAGGAACAAUUGGAGGGCAAGUCUGGUGCCAGCAGCCGCGGUAAUUCCAGCUCCAAUAGCGUAUAUUAAAGUUGUUGUGGUUAAAAAGCUCGUAGUUGAACCUUGGGCCUGGCUGGCCGGUCCGCCUCACCGCGUGCACUGGUCCGGCCGGGCCUUUCCCUCUGUGGAACCCCAUACCCUUCACUGGGCGUGGCGGGGAAACAGGACAUUUACUUU
This 576-nucleotide ribosomal RNA is filed under the name uncultured eukaryote. RNAcentral describes it as "SSU rRNA". It matches the Rfam family "Eukaryotic small subunit ribosomal RNA", at positions 174 to 758 of the family's 1831-position model. The record is from RNAcentral.